CCUACGGGUGGCAGCAGUAGGGAAUAUUGCUCAAUGGGCGAAAGCCUGAAGCAGCAACGCCGCGUGAAGGAUGAAUGUUUUCUGAUUGUAAACUCCUUUUGUUAGAGAAGAUAAUGAUUGUAUGUAACGGAUAAGCACCGGCUCACAUCGUGCCAGCAGCCGCGGUAAUACGGAGGGUGCAAGCGUUAUUCGGAGUUACUGGGCGUAAAGCGAGCGUAGGUGGGUUAGUAAGUCAGAUGUGAAAUCCUAUGGCUUAACCGUAGAACUGCAUUUGAAACUGGUAUUCUAGAGUAUAGUAGAGGUAGGCGGAAUUCGUGGUGUAGCGGUGAAAUGCGUAGAGAUCACGAAGAACACCGAUUGCGAAGGCGGUUCGCUAGACUGCAACUGACGCUGAGGCUCGAAAGCGUGGGGAGCAAACAGGAUUAGAUACCCCUGUAGUC
Molecule: ribosomal RNA, 440 nt
Filed under: uncultured bacterium
Lineage: Bacteria
Description: partial 16S ribosomal RNA
Rfam family: Bacterial small subunit ribosomal RNA
Source: RNAcentral